GCGUGUAGCUCAGUUGGUUAGAGCGCACCCCUGAUAAGGGUGAGGUCGGUGGUUCGAAUCCACCCACGCC
Molecule: transfer RNA, 70 nt
Filed under: marine eukaryotic metagenome
Rfam family: tRNA
About the family: Transfer RNA (tRNA) molecules are approximately 80 nucleotides in length. Their secondary structure includes four short double-helical elements and three loops (D, anti-codon, and T loops).
Source: RNAcentral